GACGAACGCUGGCGGCGUGCUUAACACAUGCAAGUCGAACGGAAAGGCCCUGCUUGCAGGGUCCUCGAGGGGCGAACGGGUGAGUAACACGGGGGUGAUCUGCCCUGUACUUCGGGGUAAGCCUUGGAAACUGGGUCUAAUACCGGAUAGGAGCCAUGAUUUGUGGGUGGGAGGGAAAGUUUUUUCGGUGUAGGAUGAGCUCGCGGCCUAUUAGCCUGUUGGUGGGGUAGUGGCCUACCAAGGCGGCGACGGGUAGCCGGCCUGAGAGUGUGGACGGCCACACUGGGACUGAGAUACGGCCCAGACUCCUAAGGGAGGCAGCAGUGGGGAAUAUUGCACCAUGGGCGCAAGCCUGAUGCAGCGACGCCGCGUGGGGGAUGACGGCCUUCGGGUUGUAAAAUCCUUUCGCUAGGGAAGAAGCUUUUUGUGACGGUACCUAGAGAAGAAGCACCGGCUAACUACGUG
Molecule: ribosomal RNA, 465 nt
Filed under: uncultured bacterium
Lineage: Bacteria
Description: partial 16S ribosomal RNA
Rfam family: Bacterial small subunit ribosomal RNA
Source: RNAcentral